GUGGGGAAUCUUGCGCAAUGGGCGAAAGCCUGACGCAGCAACGCCGCGUGGGGGAUGAAGGCUCUCGGGUUGUAAACCCCUUUCUGCAGGGACGAAUCAAGACGGUACCUGCAGAAUAAGCCCCGGCUAACUACGUGCCAGCAGCCGCGGUAACACGUAGGGGGCAAGCGUUGUCCGGAUUUAUUGGGCGUAAAGAGCUCGUAGGUGGCUGAGUAAGUCGGAUGUCAAAUCCCCAGGCUCAACCUGGGAUCCCAUCCGAUACUGCUCUGGCUAGAGUCCGGUAGGGGAGCGUGGAAUUCCUGGUGUAGCGGUGAAAUGCGCAGAUAUCAGGAGGAACACCAGCGGCGAAGGCGGCGCUCUGGGCCGGUACUGACACUGAGGAGCGAAAGCGUGGGUAGCAAACAGGAUUAGAAACCCUAGUAGUCC
This 426-nucleotide ribosomal RNA is filed under the name uncultured bacterium. Its description in RNAcentral is "bacterial SSU rRNA". It matches the Rfam family "Bacterial small subunit ribosomal RNA", at positions 354 to 796 of the family's 1533-position model. The record is from RNAcentral.